GAGCGAUCAAGUGCCUUAAGGGCGUUCGGUGGAUGCCUUGGCGCUGAGAGGCUAUGAAGGACGUGCUACGCUGCGAUAAGUCACGGGGAGCUGCGAAGAAGCUUUGAUCCGUGAAUUUCCGAAUGGGGAAACCCACCUUCGAUAACGGAAUUCCGAGACCAUGUUCACGAGGCGCACAGCCAGGUGAACGACGGGAUCGGAUUCGUCUGACCUCUAGACAUGCGCAAGCAUGUCUGGUUUCGGACUUCCGUUAUCAAAAGAAGGUAUGAGAUCCUUGAAUAAAAUAGAGGGUUUCAAGCAAACCCAGGGAACUGAAACAUCUCAGUACCUGGAGGAAAGGACAUCAACCGAGACUCCGCUAGUAGUGGCGAGCGAACGCGGACCAGGCCAGUGAUAAUCCUGAGACAACCGGAAACGUUUGGAACGACGUGCCUUAGUGGGUGACAGCCCCGUACGGGUAACGCGAAGGAUUAUCCUUGAGUAAGGCGGGACACGUGCAAUCCUGUUUGAACAUGGGGGGACCACCCUCCAAGCCUAAGUACUCCUCAGCGACCGAUAGCGAACAAGUACCGUGAGGGAAAGGUGAAAAGCACCCCGACGAGGGGAGUGAAAGAGACCUGAAACCGGAUGCCUACAAACAGUGGGAGCCCAAGGUUCGUCCUGGGUGACCGCGUACCUUUUGUAUAAUGGGCCAGCGACUUAAUCUGACGAGCAAGCUUAAGCCGAUAGGCGUAGGCGCAGCGAAAGCGAGUCUUAAUAGGGCGUCCAAGUUCGUCGGAUUAGACCCGAAACCUAGUGAUCUAGCCAUGGUCAGGUUGAAGGCAGGGUAACACCUGCUGGAGGACCGAACCGGUGUCUGUUGAAAAAGCCUCGGAUGAACUGUGGCUAGGGGUGAAAGGUCAAUCAAACUGGGAAAUAGCUGGUUCUCCGCGAAAGCUAUUUAGGUAGCGCCUCGAGUGAAUGCUUGGGGGGGUAGAGCACUGGAUGGACUAGGGGGGCUUACCGCCUUACCAAAUCCAACCAAACUCCGAAUACCCCAAAGCAAUACUCGGGAGACACACAGUGGGUGCUAACGUCCAUUGUGGAGAGGGAAAAAACCCUGACCUACAGCUAAGGCCCCUAAUUCGUGGCUAAGUGUGAAAGGAUGUGGGAAUCCCAAAACAACCAGGAGGUUGGCUUAGAAGCAGCCAUCCUUUAAAGAAAGCGUAACAGCUCACUGGUCUAAAUAAGGGUUCCUGCGCCGAAAAUGUAACGGGGCUCAAGCCACGAGCCGAAGCUUAGGGUGCAUUGAGUCUUCGGACUCUUUGUGCGGUAGCGGAGCGUUCUGUCAGCCGAUGAAGGCGGACCCGUGAGGGCUGCUGGAGGCCUCAGAAGUGCGAAUGCUGGCACGAGUAACGACAAACAGUGUGAAAGACACUGUCGCCGAAAGUCCAAGGGUUCCUGCGUAAAGUUAAUCUGCGCAGGGUCAGCCGGUCCCUAAGGCGAGGCCGAAAGGCGUAGUCGAUGGGAACCACGUUAAUAUUCGUGGGCCAGUGGGUGGUGACGAAUUCCGUAUGUUGUCUGACCUUAAUGGAUUGGUUGGGCCUCGAAGGAGUUCCAGGAAAUAGCCCCCACAUAGACCGUACCCCAAACCGACACAGGUGGACUGGUAGAGAAUACCAAGGCGCUUGAGAGAACUAUGUUGAAGGAACUCGGCAAUUUACCUCCGUAACUUCGGGAUAAGGAGGCCCAGUGCUUGGGCAACCAGGCAUUGGGGGCACAGACCAGGGGGUGGCGACUGUUUAUCAAAAACACAGGGCUCUGCGAACUCGCAAGAGGACGUAUAGGGCCUGACGCCUGCCCGGUGCCGGAAGGUUAAGAGGAGGGGUGCAAGCCUUGAAUCGAAGCCCCGGUAAACGGCGGCCGUAACUAUAACGGUCCUAAGGUAGCGAAAUUCCUUGUCGGGUAAGUUCCGACCUGCACGAAUGGCGUAACGACU
Molecule: ribosomal RNA, 1978 nt
Filed under: Pseudolabrys sp.
Lineage: Bacteria; Pseudomonadati; Pseudomonadota; Alphaproteobacteria; Hyphomicrobiales; Xanthobacteraceae
Description: partial 23S ribosomal RNA
Rfam family: Bacterial large subunit ribosomal RNA
Source: RNAcentral